This 853-nucleotide ribosomal RNA is filed under the name Curvularia uncinata. RNAcentral describes it as "eukaryotic LSU rRNA". It matches the Rfam family "Eukaryotic large subunit ribosomal RNA", at positions 66 to 938 of the family's 3401-position model. Lineage: Eukaryota; Fungi; Ascomycota; Dothideomycetes; Pleosporales; Pleosporaceae. The record is from RNAcentral.
CAACAGGGAUUGCCUUAGUAACGGCGAGUGAAGCGGCAACAGCUCAAAUUUGAAAUCUGGCCCUUUUAGGGUCCGAGUUGUAAUUUGCAGAGGGCGCUUUGGCUUUGGCAGCGGUCCAAGUUCCUUGGAACAGGACGUCACAGAGGGUGAGAAUCCCGUACGUGGUCGCUAGCUAUUGCCGUGUAAAGCCCCUUCGACGAGUCGAGUUGUUUGGGAAUGCAGCUCUAAAUGGGAGGUAAAUUUCUUCUAAAGCUAAAUAUUGGCCAGAGACCGAUAGCGCACAAGUAGAGUGAUCGAAAGAUGAAAAGCACUUUGGAAAGAGAGUCAAACAGCACGUGAAAUUGUUGAAAGGGAAGCGCUUGCAGCCAGACUUGCUUGCAGUUGCUCAUCCGGGCUUUUGCCCGGUGCACUCUUCUGCAGGCAGGCCAGCAUCAGUUUGGGCGGUGGGAUAAAGGUCUCUGACACGUUCCUUCCUUCGGGUUGGCCAUAUAGGGGAGACGUCAUACCACCAGCCUGGACUGAGGUCCGCGCAUCUGCUAGGAUGCUGGCGUAAUGGCUGUAAGCGGCCCGUCUUGAAACACGGACCAAGGAGUCUAACAUCUAUGCGAGUGUUUGGGUGUCAAGCCCGAGCGCGUAAUGAAAGUGAACGGAGGUGGGAACCCGCAAGGGCGCACCAUCGACCGAUCCUGAAGUUUACGGAAGGAUUUGAGUAAGAGCAUGGCUGUUGGGACCCGAAAGAUGGUGAACUAUGCUUGAAUAGGGUGAAGCCAGAGGAAACUCUGGUGGAGGCUCGCAGCGGUUCUGACGUGCAAAUCGAUCGUCAAAUUUGGGCAUAGGGCGAAAGACUAAUCGA